Long non-coding RNA from Populus euphratica (Euphrates poplar), 415 nucleotides. RefSeq lists it as uncharacterized. The transcript has 2 exons. Lineage: Eukaryota; Viridiplantae; Streptophyta; Magnoliopsida; Malpighiales; Salicaceae. The record is from RefSeq and is a predicted model, not a curated record.
UUGUAAAUCCAACUCUAAAUUACAUUGCAUCUGUCAAAAUCCUAACUAGGCAGCACUCAAUUUCGAGGCCUUUUUAGCAGUUGCCUACUGAAUGUGGUGCCCAAAAGAAAAUGACUUGGAUAAUGAAUUUUCUGGGAAGUAUUGGUGAUUUGGAGAUACCCAGUGAUGUUUUGUCGUCAAUGAGACAAGCAAGGGCAGUGCCUCGCGAAGUCAAAUACCUGAAAGGCAGGCUGUGGAUUUGCGUAGACAUAUGCUCAUGAGAUGCUCAGAGAGUCACUUCUUUGCUAUGUUUUUUUUUUUAACAAAAGCAGAGAAAUAGAGGGUGGAGAGGGUGAAUUGUUGAAAAACUCGGAGUGAAAAUCAAUGAUCAACCUUUAUUACUCGAUGUAUUUUAAUUAUUUUUUGGAUUUCUGUA